Molecule: ribosomal RNA, 783 nt
Filed under: Bacillus subtilis
Lineage: Bacteria; Bacillati; Bacillota; Bacilli; Caryophanales; Bacillaceae
Description: bacterial SSU rRNA
Rfam family: Bacterial small subunit ribosomal RNA
Source: RNAcentral
GCAGUCGAGCGGACAGAUGGGAGCUUGCUCCCUGAUGUUAGCGGCGGACGGGUGAGUAACACGUGGGUAACCUGCCUGUAAGACUGGGAUAACUCCGGGAAACCGGGGCUAAUACCGGAUGCUUGUUUGAACCGCAUGGUUCAAACAUAAAAGGUGGCUUCGGCUACCACUUACAGAUGGACCCGCGGCGCAUUAGCUAGUUGGUGAGGUAACGGCUCACCAAGGCAACGAUGCGUAGCCGACCUGAGAGGGUGAUCGGCCACACUGGGACUGAGACACGGCCCAGACUCCUACGGGAGGCAGCAGUAGGGAAUCUUCCGCAAUGGACGAAAGUCUGACGGAGCAACGCCGCGUGAGUGAUGAAGGUUUUCGGAUCGUAAAGCUCUGUUGUUAGGGAAGAACAAGUACCGUUCGAAUAGGGCGGUACCUUGACGGUACCUAACCAGAAAGCCACGGCUAACUACGUGCCAGCAGCCGCGGUAAUACGUAGGUGGCAAGCGUUGUCCGGAAUUAUUGGGCGUAAAGGGCUCGCAGGCGGUUUCUUAAGUCUGAUGUGAAAGCCCCCGGCUCAACCGGGGAGGGUCAUUGGAAACUGGGGAACUUGAGUGCAGAAGAGGAGAGUGGAAUUCCACGUGUAGCGGUGAAAUGCGUAGAGAUGUGGAGGAACACCAGUGGCGAAGGCGACUCUCUGGUCUGUAACUGACGCUGAGGAGCGAAAGCGUGGGGAGCGAACAGGAUUAGAUACGCUGGUAGUCCACGCCGUAAACGAUGAGUGCUAAGUGU